ACCAAUCACACCCUCUAUUUUAGUUUUUGCCCCUUUUGCUAGCAUUUGCUAUGUCUUUUUACAUCACUGUUUAUUGUUUUGAAAAUUGGUUGGACUCUCUUCAAGUUUAGUGAAAAAAGAAGAUUGCUUGCAUGAAGGUCCGAAUACCAUAGAAUUCUAAUAAGAUAAUCAGAGGUUUGGAUUUUGCAAUUAGAGGUUCGAAUAUGAUAUUGGGGCUUAUAUACCUUAGAAAAUAGAAACUUGAAAAAGUAUUGGGGCUUAUAAACCUAGAAUGGUCAAGCAUACAUUUGAAUACGGCACUUCCAGAACUUGAUUUGACUCAGAGUAUUGCUUAAAGGUUGUAUAGCUGAACCUUAUUAGUUGAUCAUCUUUUUUUAACUAUCUUCGUUUGGUUGGUAAGAAAAUGUUAUCAAUUUAGUGGAUAGGUGGAUGUGGUUGGAAAACUCAUUGAAUGGGAUGAUAAUAAAAACUUAAAUCAUACAAUUGAGGUUGUGAAGAAUUAAUCUAUCAGGAAUCUCACUUUGUGUGAACUAUUACAAAUAGGUGGUUUGUACAUUAAACAUUGGUGUGCCAUGUGCACAAAAUUAGUGUAGGUAAAGAAAAUUUGAUUGCGGCAUCAAGUAUGGAUGUUAUAACACAAUGGGGGCAUUGAUGAGAAAUUGAGAUAUGCUUAGCUCUACAUCAAUUUAGUAUUGAUGUGUUAUAACUGUUUGUCCUAGAACAUCCUGAUUGCAGAAACCUCUUAAGCAGCUACUAAGUCUCCAUUCAAUUCACAAGCUAUGGGCGAUGUCUUAAAAAACGUAGGUGUUAUGCUUCGAGAGGAAUGUGAUCUGAAUGUGAUCCGCUUUUUGGGGUUUAAUGCAGAGUAUGGAGGGAUAAAGAGCACAAGCAGUCAGCCAAAACUCAUGCCAAGUCAGGUAGUCAAGAUCUAGCCCAACAAGGAUCUGGUCCUUCAAAUGCUUUAGCUCUUCCAGGGUGACCCAAACUUACUAGUGAGUCAAGUGACUGAGUUCUAAACUAGAGCCUCUAUCACAUUCAUUUUGCUGGGUGGCCCAAAGGUUAGCAAGGAAAACUAGAAAAUCGUGCUUGUUAGACGCAUUAUCUUUGCCCUAGCCUUCAUACACUUGGACUAACCCUUUGGCUAAAGUAAAGAACUACGGAGUACUAUUGUAGUUCAGACCUCCAAAGGCAUACCAUUGCCUCAGAACUCAUAACCAUUGAACAGUAAACACGCACAUGGAGACAAUUAAACAGCUUGCCCAACUAUGUCAAGCUCCAUUCUUGCAAGAUUCGAGCUUUUUAAUGUACGAUAUACAUACACAUAUAAGUAGAUCUGCAGAAUUUUGGUUUCUUUUAUUCUUUAGUUUAAUGAGUUCCAUGAAUCGUGCGGAAGUUGGAUACUCCAAAUUCGAGGGUCCAAGAGUUCAUAAAAAAAAAUUGGGUUGGGGUAACAUCGUGUUAACAAGUCUCAGCAAUCAAUGGUUCAAAUUUCAUUCGGCUUCUACAAAUCUAAACUGUCCAAUACCAACGUGAAAUCUAAACCAUUGCAAC
Rhododendron vialii is the source of this 1551-nucleotide long non-coding RNA. RefSeq lists it as uncharacterized. The transcript is spliced from 3 exons. NCBI's taxonomy places the organism in Eukaryota, Viridiplantae, Streptophyta, Magnoliopsida, Ericales, Ericaceae. The record is from RefSeq and is a predicted model, not a curated record.